This 254-nucleotide ribosomal RNA is filed under the name uncultured bacterium. RNAcentral describes it as "partial 16S ribosomal RNA". It matches the Rfam family "Bacterial small subunit ribosomal RNA", at positions 524 to 776 of the family's 1533-position model. The record is from RNAcentral.
UACGAAGGGGGCUAGCGUUGUUCGGAUUUACUGGGCGUAAAGCGCACGUAGGCGGAUCGUUAAGUCGGGGGUGAAAUCCUGGAGCCUCAACUCCAGAACUGCCUUCGAUACUGGCGAUCUUGAGUCCGGAAGAGGUGAGUGGAACUCCUAGUGUAGAGGUGGAAUUCGUAGAUAUUAGGAAGAACACCAGUGGCGAAGGCGGCUCACUGGUCCGGUACUGACGCUGAGGUGCGAAAGCGUGGGGAGCAAACAGG